GAUAUAUGGAAAUGUGAGAGAGAAAGAUAGAGAGGGAGAGAGAGUGACGCGGCAGGGAGUCAUCUGCGGAAACGACGGUGGUACCGGGGUUUUUCCGGUCACCGCAGCGGCAGUCAACAGUCGCACGGUGGAUAGAGUUUAGUCGUCGUUUCAGCUGAUACCAACAGAAACCGAUGGUCACGGCGGUCAGGAUAUCACAACAGUGAAGAUGGGCUUCAAAAAGCUCCGGUGAAAUACCUAGGGUUCCGGCCAUACUCCGGCGAGUUCCGGCAAAAGCAUUAAAGCUUGCAUGUACCAUGUUCGUGUAGAUUGGUGACUGAUUCGUCUGCGUGUGUACUUUUCCGAUUAUUAAGUCCGUCUUCCAGCUUUUACAUAGGUGCCGAACGUAUGACAGAUUAAUGGGAAUGGGGUGAGUGGGCUGUUACGCUGAAUGGUAAAAGGGACUAGGCAGGUAUAUGCAACCGUGGCGGGUGGUUAUCAUGUUUGCGGGAUAAUUGAAGGCAUUGACUAUUAACGUUUUGUAUUGGGGACGAGUUGAGAGUCCCAAGAGGAACUUGACAUGGCAUUGGCUCGCCAGGGCCAAGUCGCUCAAACUGCACCACAAAGUGCUCUUUAAAUUGUUUGUGUACACUGACAAGAAAACCAAAAGAUUUUUGUCAUUACAGAUGAACUAAAGAUCCAAAAGUUCGAGUUUUCAGCUACUGUGAAUUGGAGAGAGCUACACGGGAGGGUUUACAAAAGAAUCACAAGUAGGAAAAGUAGUUUUCAGGUGUUUUCAAGGGGAUACUGAAGGUGGUGGUGUUGUUGCUAUGAAACGUGCACUUCUUUCACUUGAUAUAUUAUGUAGCUAUCAUUAAUAUGAUGGCAAAGAUGCAAUGAUUAUGAUGCAAACCCGAAUCAAAUGUUGGGUCAAAAUUGAUUUGGGUUAUGAGUUGUAACGUAAAUCAUACAUGUUAUCACACCAAAAAAACUACCAGGUUAAGCGUGUUGCAACGCGCGCAGUGUAUAAAACUAGUUUUAAUUUAAUAAUAAUAAAUGACUAUUCAUUCCCUUU
This 1054-nucleotide long non-coding RNA is filed under the name Helianthus annuus (common sunflower). RNAcentral's name for it is "hypothetical non coding rna". The record is from RNAcentral. Lineage: Eukaryota; Viridiplantae; Streptophyta; Magnoliopsida; Asterales; Asteraceae.